RNAcentral lists this ribosomal RNA (695 nucleotides) under uncultured Brevundimonas sp. Its description in RNAcentral is "bacterial SSU rRNA". It matches the Rfam family "Bacterial small subunit ribosomal RNA", at positions 94 to 824 of the family's 1533-position model. Lineage: Bacteria; Pseudomonadati; Pseudomonadota; Alphaproteobacteria; Caulobacterales; Caulobacteraceae. The record is from RNAcentral.
AGUGGCGGACGGGUGAGUAACACGUGGGAACGUGCCUUUAGGUUCGGAAUAAGCCCGGGAAACUGGGUCUAAUACCGGAUGUGCCCUUCGGGGGAAAGAUUUAUCGCCUUUAGAGCGGCCCGCGUCUGAUUAGCUAGUUGGUGGUGUAAUGGACCACCAAGGCGACGAUCAGUAGCUGGUCUGAGAGGAUGAUCAGCCACAUUGGGACUGAGACACGGCCCAAACUCCUACGGGAGGCAGCAGUGGGGAAUCUUGCGCAAUGGGCGAAAGCCUGACGCAGCCAUGCCGCGUGAAUGAUGAAGGUCUUAGGAUUGUAAAAUUCUUUCACCGGGGACGAUAAUGACGGUACCCGGAGAAGAAGCCCCGGCUAACUUCGUGCCAGCAGCCGCGGUAAUACGAAGGGGGCUAGCGUUGCUCGGAAUUACUGGGCGUAAAGGGAGCGUAGGCGGACAUUUAAGUCAGGGGUGAAAUCCCGGGGCUCAACCUCGGAACUGCCUUUGAUACUGGGUGUCUUGAGUGUGAUAGAGGUAUGUGGAACUCCGAGUGUAGAGGUGAAAUUCGUAGAUAUUCGGAAGAACACCAGUGGCGAAGGCGACAUACUGGAUCAUUACUGACGCUGAGGCUCGAAAGCGUGGGGAGCAAACAGGAUUAGAUACCCUGGUAGUCCACGCCGUAAACGAUGAUUGCUAGUUGUC